CAAAACCGUAGUUUUGCACUGUUUAUGUCCAAUGUUUGAACGUCCGUUUUAUUUGAAAUUUUAUUAUAAUUAAUAUUUUUUUUAUUGUUAUUAGAUAAUAAAACAUGAAUAGUACUUUAUGUGUAACUGAUUUUUUAAAAUUUUUUAUAAACUUUUCAAAUAAGAUGGACGGUCAGACGUUUGAUACGGAAACCACAAUUGUAUUUAAA
This 209-nucleotide microRNA precursor is filed under the name Oryza glumipatula. RNAcentral's name for it is "MIR812 microRNA precursor family". It matches the Rfam family "MIR812 microRNA precursor family". Lineage: Eukaryota; Viridiplantae; Streptophyta; Magnoliopsida; Poales; Poaceae. The record is from Rfam by way of RNAcentral.